GGAGCGAUCUGGAGCAAAACCCAAAAAAGCAGUCUCAGUUCGGAUUGAAGGCUGAAAUUCGCCUUCAUGAAGCCGGAAUUGCUAGUAAUGGCAGGUCAGCAUACUGCCGUGAAUACGUUCCCGGGCCUUGUACACACCGCCCGUCACACCAUGAGAGUUGGGAAUACCCGGAGCCUGUGAGCUAACUUUUAGAGGCAGCAGUCGAAGGUAGAAUCAAUGAUUGGGGUGAAGUCGUAACAAGGUACC
RNAcentral lists this ribosomal RNA (246 nucleotides) under uncultured bacterium. RNAcentral's name for it is "partial 16S ribosomal RNA". It matches the Rfam family "Bacterial small subunit ribosomal RNA", at positions 1254 to 1500 of the family's 1533-position model. The record is from RNAcentral.